CCUACGGGAGGCAGCAGUAGGGAAUCUUCCGCAAUGGGCGAAAGCCUGACGGAGCAACGCCGCGUGAGUGAUGAAGGUCUUCGGAUCGUAAAACUCUGUUAUUAGGGAAGAACAAAUGUGUAAGUAACUAUGCACGUCUUGACGGUACCUAAUCAGAAAGCCACGGCUAACUACGUGCC
RNAcentral lists this ribosomal RNA (179 nucleotides) under uncultured bacterium. RNAcentral's name for it is "partial 16S ribosomal RNA". It matches the Rfam family "Bacterial small subunit ribosomal RNA", at positions 338 to 509 of the family's 1533-position model. The record is from RNAcentral.